AAAAACCUAGACAUGUCCCCUGUCUGGCUCCCACCUGCACACAAAGCCAGACAACAUGGGCCUGGGACCAAGGACCCUGGUCAGAGCAGCCAUAGCCUGUAGGCUGCCUGUGCACAGGCUGUUCCUGGUCCACACGAUGCAGUUCCACUGGAUUGGGAUCUGAAAAAGCCCUAAGACUCUUGACUUCUUGAAAAGAAGCCCCAGACUUCUUGAGGGCCCCUGGGUCGCGGUGCCUGCCAGGUGUCCUUUGGCUGUCAUAGGCCUGUUAACCCAUUAUAGAGAAAGCUUCAAAGCCCUGUGUGGCUUAGCUAUGUUUGGGGCCUGGGGGAAAGGGAAGGCCUGAGCUGUGGGUCUUAACUUAGUGUUCAAAAGCAGACUCGGAGGUCAGGCAGGGGCAUAUUAGUCAGGCUGUACCUGCUUUCUUUGACCUUCUCUGGCAAGCAGACUGCAUCAAAGCGAGGGUUCUGGCCUCUGAAUCUGGAGUAAAGGUCAGGGAAAACGGUCAGGCUUCUAUGACCCUAUAACCCAAGCUGGGUCUAAUCUAAAGACUGCAGAAGAGGAAUCAUGGGAGGCCCUGUUCUUGAUUCUGGCUACUCGGAGAGUGAUAAGGAAAAGUCGUGGGUAGCAGGAAAGACAUCAUGGCCCUGUUGACCGCCCUUUGGCACCAGCCUGGUUUCUUCAGAGAGCAUGGGAAUCUCGUGAGCCUAACACUUGCCCAUUUUGAACUCUUACUGAUUGGAGUCUGGCACAUAGAGUAUGGAAGUGCACAGCCAUAGAUGCUGCAGCCCACCUAUCUCAGCGUGUCUGGGAUUUUUUUAGACCUUCAUGACCUGGCUGAGUGUGUGUGUGAGUGUGCGUGUGUGUCUAUGUCCAUGCAUGUGUGUAAUGUAGUUGUAGUUGCCAACACUGUGUAUAUAAUGACUGAUGUAUUUAUAUGUGAGUACAGAAUUGGCACCUGUGGCAGUUUUCUGUAUUUUGAACUUGUUGGAUCCAAUUAGUUUUCCUUCCAGGGUAUUGGAGGGACUAUUCCAAAGUCAUUCUUUAGAACUGACUUUUAGUGGAUGAUGCCCUUUUCAAAUAAAUGUUAAUGUUGUCACCAUA
Molecule: long non-coding RNA, 1101 nt
Filed under: Rattus norvegicus (Norway rat)
Lineage: Eukaryota; Metazoa; Chordata; Mammalia; Rodentia; Muridae
Description: long non-coding RNA NONRATT024888
Source: RNAcentral